ACCCGAGUGGCUCAGUUGGUUGAGCAUCUGACUCUCGGUUUCAGCUCAGGUAUGAUCUCACAGUUCGUGGGUUCAAGCCCCGCAUCGGGCU
RNAcentral lists this transfer RNA (91 nucleotides) under Felis catus (domestic cat). It matches the Rfam family "tRNA". From Rfam's summary of the family: Transfer RNA (tRNA) molecules are approximately 80 nucleotides in length. RNAcentral also lists the same sequence under 1 other name. The record is from Rfam by way of RNAcentral. Lineage: Eukaryota; Metazoa; Chordata; Mammalia; Carnivora; Felidae.